GGCGCCGUCACUUGGGCCACCGAGAUGUCGAAGCCCAUGGCCCGCAGCUUCCGCACGAAGUUCUCCCGGGUCGCCUGGGUUUCAUUGGUGCAGAGCUGCAGCUUCAGCCCAGAGGCUUUGAUCCUGUGGAGGGAAGGCAGCAGAGGGGUUAACUAGAUGAAGGAAAUGAGACAAGAGUGUCAACAUAAUGAAUCCAGGGACAACACCAACCACAAACCUGCACAGACAAACCAGCACCCUACAGGUCAGCUCAGUGAAAACACAGAUUCAGCUUUCCUGUACUACAAACUUCACUUCUUUCUCAGUAUUUUGGAUGGAAACCAGAGUGACACUUCUGAAAGGACUGAGCAAAGCAGGAGGAGCCUGGACACAUCCCAGACUGCUUCAGGCCUUUGUGGUCACCAGCAAUUAACACCCCAACAAAUGAGCUCAGGAAAUGCUCAGGAUCAGGUCUACAAAGAGUUGGGCCAAGCUGGACAAAAAAAAUGGGAGUCCUCUGGUGACAUAUGAAAAGGACUUUUAAAAAUAUCCUGGAACACUAAAUGAAACAAAAAUCCACAAACUCUAGAGAAGACUUACUUCUACAAAUAUAACUUUCCAGUGAGAAGUCACCUUUCCCUUCCUAAUUAGCAUCUCUGAAAAGAGCCCUGUAAACUCCGCCAAAUCCUGCACAGAACAGACACACUCACCUGUACAUUCAGUGUCACACACACUGCGCUGAAUCCAUCCUGGAUGCUCAGCACAGGGAUGGUGAGCAGAGCCUGCAGGCCAGCAAACAGCUGCUAACUCACAGCUUAAAUAAUCAGGGAGAGCUUUCACCAACAGCUCUGCAUGGGGGAAAACCUGCCUCCAAUCAUGUUUACAGCAAAACCCUCAUUCAGUUUCCCUGGCCUGGCAGGUUUUGAAUGUGGAGAGACUAAAAGUGGCUGGAAGGUCUGUGUCUCACAGGUGUGAUGCUGUGCUCAGUGAGGCUGCAGGGCUGGAAAGCUUCAAGGGAAACCUCCAGCCUCUGAACUGACCCACUGCUCACACUGCCAGCAAAGCAAGGCAAGGCACUGCAACUUCCACUGCUGGCAAGUGUGGGAUGUCAGGAGAAGAAUAAAGAACAAGAUUUGUAAUGUGAUGUCUUAUGAGAUAAAGAGCAAGGGAUUAGGUACCUGCAAGAGCAGAAGAAUGAGGCAGCAGGAGAUGAAAUACACGACACAAGUUUUAUCGAGAUCUCCAGGGUAUUACAGAUUUAUCAGCAGGUCCAUUACAGAAGCACAGGCACACCCAGGAAACCCAGUCAAUCAGGCCUUCAGCUGACUUCCACACACUGGCUGUGAUAAAGAUCCCACUCAAACACCAGGAAAAUCGAUCCUGAUUAGGGCACGAGGACAGGCAGCACUGCUGCCCAUGCUGCAGGGACCCAGUGUGGCCCAGGUACCUGUAGAUAUCCCAAGGCUGCCUCUCCCUCACUGUUUGGGGCCAUCAGCAGGUUCAGCAUCAGACAAAUCCACUUUUUUCACCAAAUCCACCAAUUUCCAACCUCACUGCUCACACCACUCCUAAUGCCCGAGAGCAGGAAUGGGGGAGCUUCACCUGAGCGAGGCAGAGGAACUCCUGACCUUUCAGGGUGUGACAAAUGCCAAACUCAGCUACAGUGGCAAAAGAAACUUGUCAGAGCCCUUCUUGGAGGGGAUGGCAGUACAGAGAUGGCAGCAGGGAGCAGAUGGAAAGGCCACUGUCCCCUCCAGCUGUGUGUCACUCUGCUGCCAGUGCCUGCUCUGCCAGGGAGCUGCCACAGCACACAGACACCGAAGGAGAAAGUCACCAAAAAACCCCAAACUUCCAAGCCCCAAAUUAAAAGUGGGCAGAUGAGCACUGAUACCACACCAGCCUUACCAGAGGAGGGAUUUAAGCCCACUCGAGAUCCAAAUAACCACUUGGUCACCCAAAUGAUCCCUAAAUCUACACCUGGGGCACCCACCCACCCCUGGGCACGCUGUGAGCACCUGCCCAGGGGAGAAGUGGAUGUGAGGGGUUUAAUUCCAGCCUGAGCUGCCCCUGGAGCCUCAGCAGCUCUUUGAACUGACCUUUACCUCGUUCUGCUGGAGCAGGACACGGGGCUGAGUGACAAUGUCCCACAGUGCAAUUACCACGCGUCAGAUGAGCAGGUCCCUUACAAAUCACCUCGAACUUUACACAUCUGCUGGCUGUCAGCAUCUGCCAGGUUCACUCACCCGAAAAUAAUGAAAAAAACUCUCAUUAUUGCUCCAUAACAGGUAAAGUGUUAGGACAAUUAUUGGACAUCCUCACUGACCUUGUGCAGACUUAGCCAACUGCCCUUGCCAACCUUUAUGGGCAGCCUUUGGGCACAUAAAACACAAAAUCUGUUCUUUCAGAUGAUGUAAAGGUUGUGACACCCAUAGGAAAAGCAAUGCUCCUGGAAUCCAGACUGGGAAUCAUCAAACUUAAAUUGACAUUAUCCUGCACAUGGCUGGAGCAGCUAAGGAAGAGGUGUAAGGCUAAACUUCAGAUUUCCCAUCUUUUCCCACUGUCUUUAGCAGUGAAUGUUUUUCCUAAGAUGGGAAUAGGAAAGUCCAGCCCACAGCCAGAGGUCCUGUGCAGAUGGGCAGUGGGGCAGGAAGCAAAACCCUGGAACAGGCAACAAACCUGAGCUUGGAGACAGUCCAACAUCAACUUCAAAGGGGUUUGGAAAUGUGCUACAUGAGAUUUCCAGAACGGGCUUUUUAUCCUGCUUUUGGUUUUUCAGAGUGCUUUGGGUUUUUUUUGAAAAAUUUAAAAGAAAGCAUGCUGAGCACUUUUGCUAUUUGACUCUUCUGCAUCAGUGGACAAAUAUGAGUGUGCUUCAGUGUAAACCUCUCAGCAUUCUGAUUCCUUGUCUCAAACACAGGGAACCAACAGCACCAAACCACAAAGUAAAAGCAGGACUUGUGUAGAAACACCAUCCUCCCACCUGGGCAGGGUUAAUGUUAGUGCCCUCUGCAAGGGCCAGGGUGUGGUGCUCCAGGUAAAACCUCUCCUGAUCUUGCAGGUUUUUCCCAGGAGAACCUCCCUGGGAGCACCACACACACCUGAGGAUCCAAAAGGGUUUUCUGGCUCAGAGCAAUAGCUCCUUCUGGGGUCCAGCUGUGGAAAUGCCUGGUGGGAGCAGAGCACAUUUGCUCUGCUUAAAAAGUGUCUUUUUGUCAAAAAAUGUGCUGUAUUUUCUCUGCAAAUCUGUAUUCCUGCCAUUCCAGCAAAGUCAUUAUUUCAGAAGCCUGAAGGCCAUAAGUGCCUUUGCCCAUCAUUACAUGGUACAAGCUUCUCCCAAUUCCAUGGAAAUACUGAAUUCCCGGGUGUUUUUUAACCUGGUGGGUGCAAUGGAAUCAGAAGACUGUGGAUAAAACUCCAGGAUUUUCCUUCUCUCUCCCAGUCCCCAAAACUUUCCGUUCCUCUGAUUUCUGCCAUCACAGCACAUCCAAACUGCUUCAAUCUUGCUGUCACAUCUCUGAUGCCACUUUUGCCCCCUGACCUCCUGGUGUUUCCCUUCCCUGAUGUCCUGUCAUGGGUCCUGAGUACAGCCAGGCUCAUUAAAGCCCUGGUUCUCUGGGGAUCCAACUUUCUGCUCCACGUAGCCCUGACAAAUCCUUACACGUGGCACUUUUUGGCCCCAGUCCCUCCUGCAUUCCUGAAACUCAUCUCUACAUCUGCCAUCUCCCCAGCGCCAUUUCCUCCCCAGCCCCAUAUGGCUCACCUCUCUCUAAAUAUAGAAGGGGAUAAUUUGGAGGCAAUCCAAAGGAGGGGCUGCAAAAGGGAUUAAAAAAUAGGAGGGCAUUACCUUUGCACAUGAGUAAAAGCAGAUUAAUAGGCACACAUGAAGGAGCCACAAGAAUGUUACUUAAGGGUGGACAAGGGUGAUAAAAGCAAGGGUACAGUCCUAAGAGUAAAGACUCUGGAAACACCACUUUGAGACAGUGUUUGACAGUAAAAACUGAAAAAAAACCCCAAUAAAUUGUAGCUCAAAGCAGACUUUAAACACCCACCAAUGCCUUUAUUUAGGUGUUUUGAUAAUUUAGAAUUUUUCAGAAGGAGAAAGAAAUCCUGGAAGUUUUAACACUAAAGCAAACACAAAGUCCUGAAUUCUCUACAAAGGCCAUUGAAUACAGCUGGAUACCAGAAUUACUGCACAAAUUAUCCAACACCAUAAAUCAUAAUCCACCUUCCUGAACAGCAGGGAAGACAAUUGAUUUGUAGGCAGCAAUAUGCCACAACAGUGAAAUCUAGAAUUCAGUAUUCACUAAAAGUAACAUGUGUUUCUGAAGGAAAUCUGCAGAAAGGAAGCACAAAGCAGAAUAAAAGAAAAAUCUCUCUGGUCCAUUAAGCUCAAUAACAAGAUGCAUCUAACACUGCAGAUUACCAAAUCAGCUUAAUGUAUUACACCUAAAAGAUUUUAACCACACUGCAAGUGGUUCAAUAAGUAAACUCUGGCAGACCUUAAAUAGCUGGUAAAUCUCCACUUUGGGAGCUGCCAAGGAAAAAAACAGAUUUUUGAGGAUUCAGUUAGCAUGAGCAGCUCUGCGAUAUAUUUGCAUUAAGUAAAAUAUUUUUAUGGACAACAUAGUGAAUGAUACUCCAAUAGCUUUUAUUCUGUGCAAAAAGGAGGGUACAUGAUCUUUAAAGAUGCUUCCAACCCAAACCAUUCUAUGAUUCUAUGAAGCUGCUAAUUACUCCAUUAAAAACUCAUUCAAAAACAAGUUAUCCUUGACAGGGUUGAAUCCUCACUUUGUGCACAAAGAGCACCCGUUUGUAAAGAAGGAAUUCUGUUUCUGAGACCCUGAGUGUUAAGGAUGUGUGAACUCCAAAAAUGCAAGCACUCAUGCAACUUGUGCACAAAGCGGGUGAGCACCCACAACUUCAGGGACACAAAUCUUUAUAAAGAAAUAAGGGACACUGCUGAUUAGGAAAGUAAAUAUGGGUUAGGAACACCCACUGCUCUCAGAAAACUGAGACCACAGCUAAUGUUACAGACUGGAGUGCAGCUGAGAGUCAAUUCCUGGAUCCCCUUCUGGCUCUGCCAGGGAACAGCCUGUGUUCCCACAUGACAAUGCAGAAUGCUUCAUUUGUUGUGUGUCUGCUGCUUCAGGAGGCAGUGACAUCUGGGUCACUGGGUUUCUUUGGGCAGAAAGUGCAAAGAGAGUGAAGUACAGACACAAAUUAACAGAUAUUUACACAAGGGUUUGUAUACUUUAUUGGAAGGUUUCUUUCUAGGAGAAACAACUGCUUUUCUAUGAAAUGUCCCGAAGGCACAGCAAGCCUUGGAACUCUGAAUAUCUGCACAGCCUGUGCUAAGCCACGUUAUCUGUGUGACAACAAAGAUUUCCUACUCCUCGUGGCACACACACUUCCAAAAGGCUCUUUGUGAGCUCCCAGCUCCUCUGAACCCCCACACCCUGAAUUGUUUUACAGUCCCAGUUCCGCUUGUUCUCCUCACAAUCUUCUCCUUGUGAGGCUCUCCAGGUAUUUUAUUUUAACAGGAGUGUCCAGCUGCUCCCCAGCCUCCCUGCUCCCCAGAUUUCCGCUGCCCUUUUCAAGGGCUCUGCAGAAAGCUGUGCUAACAGAUGCACCAUCCCAGCCCAACAACAGGAUGUUGUAAACCUCCAACUACUGUGUGCUUUUCAUAUGGAUAUGCUAAUGGACACACUAUCAGCACGCAGCUGUAAAUGCAAAUGCCAGAGCACAGGCUGAGCAUCUUUUAUGGGUGUUUAACCACCUUCUGUCUUGUAAGGGACCAGCUCCUGGCUAUUUGCAAGAUAAAAAGCAGCUAGCUCACCUCGUGUCAAUGCUGUGUAAAUCGAUUAAGACAAUAACAGCGCGGCACUGGGGCUCUGUUAGGGCUGGCUCCAGGAGAAGCCUUUAAGUCACCGAUGGCCCUUCUGAUCUCACCCAUGGGCUUUCUGAUCUGCUCCACAGCAUCUGCCAGGGAACUGAACAGCUGGGAAGAGGUGGGUGGGGUUUAUGUAACUUUUUCAAAACAACAAACUUGCCACAGCAAGUUAAACAAUCAAGAAACAUUAUGUCUUAAAAGUUUUAAAGGGAUAAAUUAUCUUAUUGAGCCACUUCUGGCUUUUUUAGCCAUCCACUGCUGCAAUAUCUCCACCUAAAGAUAACAACAACAGUCCCUGGAGAAUUCAGAGGCAUUCCUGGCUCCAGGAGUGCCAAUACCCUUCGGCAUAUGGGUGCCUGGCUGAGUCUGGACGAGUAGCAAGGAUCCAGAUUCACCUCAUCCCCUGCGCACAGGACACAAGCCCUGCUCAACAAACACUCCUGUGGUUCUCCUCGGUGCACACUGAAUCCUUCAGUAUUUCACAGGUGAGAUUUAUCAGGGCUGCAGGUACAUCAGCAAUAAACAAAGCACUCCCAGCUGUUACACUUAGUGUUUCACCACGGGUUACACCAAUUAUUGAUGCCUUGCUCAGGAGGGUCUCUACAGCACUGAAUGUCACCUUGCUCGGGGUGUUCCAGUGUCCAUCAGCUUCUCUGGCCAUGUUUCUGCUCCAUCUGACUGUACUGUUGGCUACAAACAAACAAACAAGAGGGAAGCAGCCAUCACAAAUAGAAACCAGGCCAAAUUCUGCUGGCAGAAAUUAGGCUGCUGCUCUCUCAAACACUAACUCAAAUAACUGCACAGCAGAAUUCAGCUGAAAACAAGAGAAAUAAUGUAGCAAAUGUAGUUUUAGGAGGUCAGGACACCUUCAGUCACAUGAAACCAAGGACAAAUUAGCAUGUUUACUUAUCAUUUUUAUUGGAAUGUACUGUAUGUUGUUACACUAAGUUAAUUGCUGUAAUGGGGAGGUGAUGUAGCAAGACAGUCUGAAAAGAACAGGUCAGCUGUUCUGCUGUAAGGGUCCUUAUCUGUACUCUGAGUUAUCAAAAUGGGAUUUAAGGUUUCUGCUGGACAUAUAUACAUGCUAAAAGAUGUCAGACAGCUGCUUUAGCAGAGGACCACAGCAAUUUGAAUUAGUUAUAAGGUUCCUCACUAUCUGCAAUUAUGGCUCUUUAAUUGAUUAAAAAAAGAAUUCAUUAAAAAGAGCUCCUUUUAGCUUUGAUCCAUCUGCUUGAAACCACCCAGCUGUACUGUGACGCAGACACAGAUAUUAAUGAGCAACUGGCAAUAGGAUAAUGAGUCAAUAAAGAGUUUAAAUGG
This is a long non-coding RNA of Passer domesticus (house sparrow), 7189 nucleotides long. RefSeq lists it as uncharacterized. NCBI's taxonomy places the organism in Eukaryota, Metazoa, Chordata, Aves, Passeriformes, Passeridae. The record is from RefSeq and is a predicted model, not a curated record. The transcript has 2 exons.